This 652-nucleotide ribosomal RNA is filed under the name Bacillus sonorensis. RNAcentral's name for it is "bacterial SSU rRNA". It matches the Rfam family "Bacterial small subunit ribosomal RNA", at positions 84 to 749 of the family's 1533-position model. The record is from RNAcentral. Lineage: Bacteria; Bacillati; Bacillota; Bacilli; Caryophanales; Bacillaceae.
GUUGAUCCGGUCCGGCGAACGCGGCGUGCUACACAAAGGCCGCGGGCUGUCCUAGGCGGCGGGGGUACGGUACCGCCUAGGAUAAUCCGGAAACCGGGUUACCGGAGUUAACGUAAUUAAGGUUUAGCUACCACUUACAGAUGGACCCGCGGCGCAUUAGCUAGUUGGUGAGGUAACGGCUCACCAAGGCAACGAUGCGUAGCCGACCUGAGAGGGUGAUCGGCCACACUGGGACUGAGACACGGCCCAGAUCUACGGGAGGCAGCAGUAGGGAAUCUUCCGCAAUGGACGAAAGUCUGACGGAGCAACGCCGCGUGAGUGAUGAAGGUUUUCGGAUCGUAAAACUCUGUUGUUAGGGAAGAACAAGUACCGUUCRAAUAGGGCGGURCCUUGACGGUACCUAACCAGAAAGCCACGGCUAACUACGUGCCAGCAGGCGGUAAUACGUAGGUGCAAGCGUUGUCCGGAAUUAUUGGGCGUAAAGCGCGCGCAGGCGGUUUCUUAAGUCUGAUGUGAAAGCCCCCGGCUCAACCGGGGAGGGUCAUUGAAACUGGGGAACUUGAGUGCAGAAGAGGAGAGUGGAAUCACGUGUACGUAAAUGCGUAGAGAUGUGGAGGAACACCAGGCGAAGGCGACGUCUGUAACACGCGAA